GGAAGGGAGAGCGCCGUUUCCCGUUUCCCGUUUCCCAUCCUUUGUCACUACUCCGUAUGAUGACUAUUCGGCCAAUCUCCGAACCUUUGCCCAGUUCCGAUUACAACGGAGUGACCGAGGAUCCAGUUACCGGUAAUUUCUUUGCUUUCUACUAUCUUAUUAUUGUAUUGAAUAAGGAACAAAAAUGAGCGAGAAACAGAAAAAGAAGAAAGGAAAAACAAAAUCUAUUCACCUUUUUUUUAUUUCUUUGAAUAUUUUUUUUCUUUUUGUAUUCGAUCUCUGUAAAAAAGGAAGAAGAUCCGUUUACAGUGUUUGCACUGGCCCUUUAUAGCCAAAAUUACAAAAAUAAAUAAAUAAUAAAAAUCGAUCUGUUAUUUCUUUUUCCGUUUUUCCUUUUCUGCUUUUGUUGGCCUAUUGUUGUUGCUUUGUUGCUGCGUUGUCCAUUUUUGUUUGUUGCAGGUACGGCCGUACGGAGGGUGGACGUGGCGUAGCGUAUGAGGCGUGGUACGGUUACUGCGGCGCUGGGAGCCGAAAGUUGCUAGGGUUCCUUGCUCCUGUUUUGCGUUUUGGGCUCAGUGGGCUAAAGGUUUUUUUUUAUGCUAGUGGGUUAAUAGGUUUGGUGUGUGUUUUCGUUAAAACGGGUUGGGUUGUAAUUUUGGCUAGCUGAAAUUUGUAAAUGGACCGCUAUUUCAUUGGACUAUUUUUUUUAAAAUUUGAUUAAUUUUAUUGUGUGGGCACGGGUCAAAAUUGGGCAUUACACCAAUCACACAUCCAAAAUAUACCUAAAUGGUCAAACUCAUAUGUGAAACAUUGUGCCUAACUUAUCAUGCUUGCCACACCUCAAAUUCAACCAUUU
RNAcentral lists this long non-coding RNA (856 nucleotides) under Gossypium barbadense (sea-island cotton). RNAcentral describes it as "long non-coding RNA (GBAR_LNC019443)". The record is from RNAcentral. Lineage: Eukaryota; Viridiplantae; Streptophyta; Magnoliopsida; Malvales; Malvaceae.